Molecule: ribosomal RNA, 490 nt
Filed under: uncultured bacterium
Lineage: Bacteria
Description: partial 16S ribosomal RNA
Rfam family: Bacterial small subunit ribosomal RNA
Source: RNAcentral
AUUGAACGCUGGCGGCAGGCCUAACACAUGCAAGUCGAACGGUAACAGGAAGCAGCUUGCUGCUUUGCUGAGGAGUGGCGGGCGGGUGAGUAAUGUCUGCGAAACUGCCUGGUGGAGGGGGAUGACUACUGGAAACGGAAGCUAAUACAGCAUAACGUGACAAGACCAGAGAGGGGGGCCUUCGGGUCUCUUGCCCUUGGGUGUGGCCAGAUGGGGUUUGCUAGUAGGUGGGGUAACGGGUCACCGAGGCGACGAUCCGCAACUGGUAGGAGAGGAUGACCAGGCACACUGGAACUGAGACACGGUCCAGACUCCUACGGGAGGCAGCGGUGGGGAAUAGUGCACAAUGGGCGCAAGCCUGAUGCAGCCAUGCCGCGUGUAGGAAGAAGGCCUUCGGGUUGUAAAGGACUUUCGGCGGGGAGGAAGGGAGUAAAGUGAAUACCGUGGCUCAUUGACGGUACCUGAAGAAGAAGCACCGGCUAACUCCGUG